GCAGUCGAGCGCCUCGCAGAGGAGCGGCAGACGGGUGAGUAACGCGUGGGAAUCUACCCAUCUCUACGGAACAACUCCGGGAAACUGGAGCUAAUACCGUAUACGUCCUUCGGGAGAAAGAUUUAUCGGAGAUGGAUGAGCCCGCGUUGGAUUAGCUAGUUGGUGGGGUAAUGGCCUACCAAGGCGACGAUCCAUAGCUGGUCUGAGAGGAUGAUCAGCCACAUUGGGACUGAGACACGGCCCAAACUCCUACGGGAGGCAGCAGUGGGGAAUAUUGGACAAUGGGCGAAAGCCUGAUCCAGCCAUGCCGCGUGAGUGAUGAAGGCCCUAGGGUUGUAAAGCUCUUUCAACGGUGAAGAUAAUGACUGUAACCGUAGAAGAAGCCCCGGCUAACUUCGUGCCAGCAGCCGCGGUAAUACGAAGGGGGCUAGCGUUGUUCGGAAUUACUGGGCGU
Molecule: ribosomal RNA, 454 nt
Filed under: uncultured bacterium
Lineage: Bacteria
Description: bacterial SSU rRNA
Rfam family: Bacterial small subunit ribosomal RNA
Source: RNAcentral